This 762-nucleotide unclassified non-coding RNA is filed under the name Hevea brasiliensis (rubber tree). The record is from RNAcentral. Lineage: Eukaryota; Viridiplantae; Streptophyta; Magnoliopsida; Malpighiales; Euphorbiaceae.
GUAAGAGGUGUUUGGUUCCGUGGAGCUAUUAAGUACGAGGAGGGGUUGUACCUGGAUCGUUACUUUCCGAUGAAAAUGUGUUACUGAAGAGAAUUCAGCUCAGCUCUCUGUGUAUGAGCUAUAUAUUACUCUGCAUGUUAGAGAGUAAAGAAGAUCUGUAGGUGGCCUUGAUUUCUAACUGGGUUUUGAAGGUGAUGGGAAUGGAAGAUGAGGAUGUUUAGUUUUUAGAUGAAGGCAGCUGGUCUGAAUCUUCAGUGAAAGAUUUAAACUUCAACCCACAAAUGGAUUGAAAUAGAGGUUGCAGCCCAUUUUGGCCGCAAUGUUAAAACCUUUAGUUCCUGGGCUGCUGUUGCUUUCUUUAUUCCUAAUAUCAGUAUCUGCAAACGACAAUGGCUUUUCCCGGUGUAAUUGUGAUGAUGAGGCCAGUUUAUGGAGCAUAGAGAACAUUCUAGAUUGCCAAAAAGUAAGCGAUUUCUUGAUUGCUGUGGCCUAUUUUUCAAUCCCUAUUGAGCUGCUAUACUUUGUUAGCUGCUCAAAUGUCCCGUUCAAAUGGGUCCUCUUUGAGUUCAUUGCCUUCAUUGUCCUUUGUGGAUUGACUCAUUUGCUCAAUGGCUGGACUUAUGGCCCUCAUCCAUUUCAGCUCAUGCUUGCCCUUACUGUCUUUAAGAUUUUAACAGCCUUGGUCUCAUGUGCCACUGCUAUUACACUCUUCACCCUCAUUCCUCUGCUUCUUAAAGUGAAGGUAAGAGAAUUCAUGUUGAA